GACGAACGCUGGCGGCGUGGAUUAGGCAUGCAAGUCGAACGGUAUCAUCCUUUCGGGGGUGAGAGAGUGGCGAACUGGUGAGUAACACGUAGGUUAUCUACCCUCAAGACGGGGACAACCCAGGGAAACUUGGGCUAAUACCGGAUGUGAGCAACUUUUAGUUGUUUGAAAGGUGGCGUAAGCUGUCGCUUGGGGAUGAGCCUGCGUCCUAUUAGUUAGUUGGUGAGGUAACGGCUCACCUAGGCAAUGAUAGGUAGGCGGCCUUAACGGGUGGUCGCCCACACUGGGAUUGAGAUACGGCCCAGACUCCUACGGGAGGCAGCAGUCGAGAAUAGUCUACAAUGGUCGGAAGACUGAUAGUGCGACGCCGCGUGAACGAUGAAUCCCUUCGGGGUGUAAAGUUCUUUUAUAUGUGAGCAGUGCUUCUUAUAUUAACAGUAUGGGGAAGAGAUAUUAGCAUAUGAAUAAGCAACGGCUAACUCCGUGCCAGCAGCCGACGGUAAAACG
Molecule: ribosomal RNA, 507 nt
Filed under: uncultured bacterium
Lineage: Bacteria
Description: bacterial SSU rRNA
Rfam family: Bacterial small subunit ribosomal RNA
Source: RNAcentral